GGACACGAGGGACAAGGGAGGGAAGAAGGCAUCUGAAAAUACUGAAGAGCUGACAGGGUAGUGAGGAAUCCCCAAGCCCAUAUCUAGAAGAUUGGAACCAUGGAGAAAAAUCUGAAACGCCGUGAGGAUGAGCCCAUGGUGUCCCGGCCCGUGUAGACACCAGCUCAACUUCCAAUCUUCUCAAGCCCCGAUGGCUCAGACCCCCAGGUGCCUGCAAGAAGCAAAUGAAAAUCCUCACUGGAGGCCAAAAACAAAAAAGAAGUCCAGAAUAAAGACGUUUUCAGACCAACAAAACCAAGAGAGUUUGUCACAAGCAGAACUGUAUUAAAGAAAACCUUAAAGUGAGUGGUUUCAAGUAGAAGGAAAAUUACCCCAGAUGAAAUGUCAAAGAUGUACAAUAAAUGAAGAGGAAUGAAA
Molecule: non-coding RNA, 417 nt
Organism: Microcebus murinus (gray mouse lemur)
Lineage: Eukaryota; Metazoa; Chordata; Mammalia; Primates; Cheirogaleidae
Source: RefSeq, a predicted model, not a curated record